CAAUUGGCCAAGACACAUUACAAGGACAACCUUCUCCCAGCAACCUGGCAUUUCCACUCCAGUUGGAAUCUUCUGCAACACAAAGAUGCACGCGGGAGAAAGACUAAAUAAACAAACCUUUCAGAUUUCCGCUCCAGCCAUUUCCUUUUGCUGAAUCAUCUUUGGAGAUGAAGAUUCACUGUCCAGCGCUUCCCACAUAAUCAUCUUCAUAUUUCUGUAAUCAGUUCUGGGCCCUGUAUUUUAAGAGAAAGAUGGGAAUGGUGACGAUUGCUAAGAAGAAAGAAAACAAUGUUGUGAGAGAACUUAAAACUUGGGUUACCAAGUAUAUUCCUGAAGGAGCUGGUGGUGUUUGGCCUGAAAAAAUGAAAAUUCAAAGGGCUCCAAAUUUUUUAAGGGUUCUCAUUUAGAAGAUGGAUUCAUCAAGCUUUGACAACCCCUCCUGGUGCUGCCAUGUUUCCUGUCAGAUGUCAAUGAUUAACUAAGCUCCAAGUGCAGCCUCAGGACCCCACGAAUGUGGUCCCAUCAGCAGUCAUUACUAUGUAGGACUCUGGAUGAAUAUUCUGAUGCUGGACAUUGUCAGUGUGCUGCUGAGGGUUCAAUGGAGACCAAUGGGUAAAAGACAGGGACUCAACUUUAAACACAGUCAUAGGAGUCAGUGAUGGAAUAGGUUGCUCCCAGAGGUGGCAAGUCUCCCAACAUGAGACAUUUUCAGAGGUUUGCUUUAGGAAAAAUUUCAACUUAUCAAUUCCUGUGAUGGCUCUACCCUCCCACCCCUACCCCUAUGGUGAAAAAUGCAGAAGAAACUAUCUCUGAGAAAUGGCAAAGGCAGAGAUCAGGCCAGGGGUUGGUGGGGGGGCUUCUUUGGGUCAUGAAGGCUUUGGACUCCAUGAAGGAAGAUGCUCUAAGGAAGCCUGGACCCCAAGCAAGGCGUUUCUACCACAGCAUUCACGUAGGACACGUCAAGAGCCCCCAUCUUGCAGGGAAUACUGGUGGCUUGGAAAUUUGGGCCCUUAGGGGCAAAUGUGACAAGCUGGAGAGUAGUGAGCUUCUAACCAUUAUGCCUCCCAAAUUCUAAAGUGACUCUGAGAGUGGAAAGGGACCUCUCAGAGUGUCCAUUUCUCACAAUUUGCAAGGGUCUCUCUGGACACUUGCCUGGGGAACUGUCACACAGAUACAACAGAACUCUAUUUUAGCUAAGGUUGUGUUUACUUAGAUACACCCUCACCUGCCAGGUUUUCGGUAUUCCACCCCCAAACCUAACAAAUCCAGUAAAUCCUUGACGGGACAUGGCCAACAGCUCAGAGUUGAUAGAGGCACCUCCCACCUGUGAGAAGAGGAGGGUCCUGUUUCGCAGCAUCUGGGCUAUAGAGGGCCUUCAUUGUGCUUAAAAAAAAAAAAAGAAUAGGUUUUCUUAUCAGUUUCUUAAGGUUGCUUUGGCAAGCAACUAGGGAGCAGGCUUGUAAUAUUUCUUACAUACUAUGCUCGAAUCGCUAAUGCAAAAUCAAUUAUCCCACCAUCAUUUUAGACACUGUGUGAAAAGUACAAGAGUUAUACUAAUGAUUCAGAGAAUACAAUUUGCCCCCAUGGAAGUGGUACUGCUUUAUCACUGAUAGUUCUCACCCUGUGCUUAACCUUGAACGAUUUUCCUUUUCCAACCAGUAUCCCAGUGCCAUGAUGUCACCCACGACUGUUUAGAUCCGCCCGCCAGGUCUACAUUAGCAAAUACUCCAGGGCCAGUAAAGUCACUUGGUUGCCAGCAGCUGCAGUUAUUGCUGCAUUGGCCAGCCGGCGCUUUGCUUAUCAUCAAACCCAGUCCAGAGUAAGCUUUAGAAAAAGCCCAGGUAUUGCCCGUCAUUGCAAGACACAAAGACUGUUUCCCACGGCCAGGUGUUUUUCCAGGGCCCUAGUCAGACUGCUACGACAAAAAAGUCCUAGGACAAUGUCACGGGAUGAGGAAAAUGUCCUGUAUAAGCACUGAGAAUUAAUACUUAGUUGCAUUUUUUUUUCUAAAGGCGGCACAGCACUAAAUGACUGCUAGUCUUCAGCACUUUUACGACUGAUACUGUGGGAGCUAGCGUAUUUUGAGGGCUUUCUAUCUGCCAAGCUCUAUGAUACAGAAUUUUUUGCAUUAUCUUAUUAAAUCCUCAUCACCUGAUGAGGCAUCAAUUUUUUCCCCAUUAUAGAAAUGUGGUACGGAGUGUUUAAGAAAUUUGCCAAAGUCAUAAAGCCAGUCAUUUUGGAAAGAGUGGAUGAAAGGUCAAAAAAGAUUUGGUGAGUUCUGGCUUCCAGAAUCAUUUAAUUUAAUCCAAUUUUGUAGCAAUUGUAAGACUACCUAUGCUUGAAUCCUGGAUCCACAGUUCACUUAGAUUGUUUUGACUCAGCUUCUUUGUUGACCAAAUGGGUCCAAUAACAGCAUUUACAUCAAAGGGUUGCAAAACUUAAAGGGAUGAUAAUAACAUUAGUUAAUAUUUAUGGAUGCUUAUCAUGUGCCAGGCACUGCUUCUGAGUUCAUUGAACAUAUCUGCUUAUUUAUUUCUUUUUUAAAAAGAUUUAUUUAUUUAUUUUAGAGAGAGAAUGAGUGCUCAUGCAAACACGCACAAGAGAAAGGGUAGAGGAAGAGAAUCCUCAGACGCACCACUGAACGUGGAGCCCAAUGUGAGGCUCAGUCCCCUGGCCCAUGAGCUCAGGACCUGAGCUGAAACAAAGAGUCAGAUACUCAACUGACUGAACCACCCAGGUGCCCCUCUACUUAUUUAUUUCUGACCACAAAUUGUGAAGUUGAUAGAAUACUAUCUCCUUUUAGAGAUGGGGAUGCUGAACCACAUAGAAGUUAAGUAACUUUCCCAAGAUUAUGUAUGAAGUCAAUGGUAGAGCUGGGAUAUAAACCCAGGAAGCCUGUGCUUGGAGCCACCACCCUGUUACCUUCAGGAAUGUAGGUAACCCACCACAUGGCAACUGAUCAAUAAAUGUUCAUCAUUUAAGAACAUAACUAUGCUAGAUGCUAUGCUAGCACUUCAUAAAUAAUUUCAAAAAAUUCUCAUGAACCCCUUAUAAGGUAGCCAUGAACCCACUUUUGCAUAUUUGGACACUUACAGAUGAAGUACUUUACCCAAGAUUACAUCUCUUUUUAACAUCACGUGUGAGUAACUCUACUGGGAUACAGACCUUUUGCCUCUUGAAUCGCAAAACAUAUGGUUUUGAUCGUAGCCAAAUAGCCAGACUACUGUCUGGCUUUAGGAAUAACAUCCCCAGAUAAUAGCAUAUUUUUAUGCAAGCCUUCUGCAUUUUCUGUGUCGCUCAAAUGGCUCCCAUGUAAUCUCUCCGAUGUUUAUUUAGGUUUGGUUUCUGGAGUUAUGAAAUUGAUCAUCUUUUGCUACAACUUUUUUUUUCUUUCUCCCCUCUGCUUUAACACACAAAGUCUCCACAUUCAGUGAAGCAUUGGCACUGCAUGAUCCAUUUCACAUUCUAGGACUCUGCUGCUCCUCACUUUGGGGUGAUAUAUCAGACAAUCAGUCACAGCAAGAUGCUAAAUGCCAGAUGUUGCUUUGUCAGCUAGGAUCAUCCUUUGAACAUCUGUCUCCAGUCCUGAGAGGGGAAAUGCCCUAAUGUGCCAAAAACAUGGCUAUUUAUAAGGAAGUGUCUGGCUGUUAAUUAGGUAUCAGGAGUGAUCCAAAGAAGUAAAGUUACCCCAAAGGAAACUUGCCACAUUCUGUAAACUCUGAUCAUCUCAGUGGGUGAGCAUCGUAGGGAUAUUGGCAUACUGUAAGGAAGAACUUACUCGGCACCCUUUUCUUGCCUUCUUUCCAUCCCAGUGGUUAUGCAGUGUUCCUAGGAUCUUCUUUGUUGUUGAUUAAUUAAGUAAAAGAAUGUUUAGACAAGGCUUGUUUUAGGCAAGCCACUGUGCGAUGUACUGGAGACAUGUUAUUAAAGGUCUUUGCCCUUAAAGCAUUACUGUUAAACACAA
Canis lupus familiaris (dog) is the source of this 3964-nucleotide long non-coding RNA. RefSeq lists it as uncharacterized. The record is from RefSeq and is a predicted model, not a curated record. The transcript is spliced from 2 exons. Lineage: Eukaryota; Metazoa; Chordata; Mammalia; Carnivora; Canidae.